GCACUUCCUUCAGCAGCACAUAUACUAACAGUGGAAUGAUACAGAGAAGAAUAGCAUGGUCCUUGUCCAAACAUGAUAUGUAACUUCAUGAGGUGUUCCAUAUUUUC
Zalophus californianus (California sea lion) is the source of this 107-nucleotide small nuclear RNA. NCBI's taxonomy places the organism in Eukaryota, Metazoa, Chordata, Mammalia, Carnivora, Otariidae. The record is from Ensembl.